GGUGAGGUAGCUCAGUUGGAUUAGAGCAGAGGUCUACGAAGCCUCCGGUCGUGGGUUCGAAUCCCACCCUCAUCA
RNAcentral lists this transfer RNA (75 nucleotides) under Salinivirgaceae bacterium. Its description in RNAcentral is "tRNA-Arg". It matches the Rfam family "tRNA". Rfam says of the family: Transfer RNA (tRNA) molecules are approximately 80 nucleotides in length. Their secondary structure includes four short double-helical elements and three loops (D, anti-codon, and T loops). The record is from RNAcentral. Lineage: Bacteria; Pseudomonadati; Bacteroidota; Bacteroidia; Bacteroidales; Salinivirgaceae.